This 513-nucleotide ribosomal RNA is filed under the name uncultured bacterium. Its description in RNAcentral is "partial 16S ribosomal RNA". It matches the Rfam family "Bacterial small subunit ribosomal RNA", at positions 355 to 858 of the family's 1533-position model. The record is from RNAcentral.
UGGGGAAUAUUGCACAAUGGGCGCAAGCCUGAUGCAGCCAUGCCGCGUGUGUGAAGAAGGCCUUCGGGUUGUAAAGCACUUUUGUCCGGAAAGAAAUCCUUGGCUCUAAUACAGUCGGGGGAUGACGGUACUGGAAGAAUAAGCACCGGCUAACUACGUGCCAGCAGCCGCGGUAAUACGUAGGGUGCAAGCGUUAAUCGGAAUUACUGGGCGUAAAGCGUGCGCAGGCGGUUUGCUAAGACCGAUGUGAAAUCCCCGGGCUCAACCCUGGGAACUGCAUUGGUGACUGGCAGGCUAGAGUAUGGCAGAGGGGGGUAGAAUUCCAGCGUGUAGCAGUGAAAUGCGUAGAGAUGUGGAGGAAUACCGAUGGCGAAGGCAGCCCCCUGGGCCAAUACUGACGCUCAUGCACGAAAGCGUGGGGAGCAAACAGGAUUAGAUACCCUGGUAGUCCACGCCCUAAACGAUGUCAACUAGUUGUUGGGGAUUCAUUUUCCUUAGUAACGUAGCUAACGC